Molecule: long non-coding RNA, 701 nt
Organism: Sycon ciliatum
Lineage: Eukaryota; Metazoa; Porifera; Calcarea; Leucosolenida; Sycettidae
Exons: 2
Source: RefSeq, a predicted model, not a curated record
UGUGUGUGUCGAUGGUAUGCAUUUUUGUGCUGGGUGAACACUCUGAUCCCUAAACCGCGAUACCGGAGCUCCCAAGCUACAGCCUCACAUUGAUUUAUAGUUCAUCGUUGGGAAUGAGUUCGCUGCUCAUGAUGCUGUUGCGGAUGUUGCGGCCCUAGCUGAAAUUGUCGAAGCUCGCCCUGAUGCCAGUAUCCUGUAGCGCUCUGUCACUUUUGCAUCAGCAUGUUCGGCGAUGGAGUUUGCAGAACAUCAGCAAAAGCGGCUGGCCACCCUUCAACCGUUGGUCCAAGCAACGUGCUUCUCUAAAUCAGUUUCAGUGCGGGCAGCUGCCAGUGGGUUGGUGAUGAAGCACUUUGUCUUGUCCUACAAACGAAGUGGUGAGCCAGCCAUUUCCAGACUGAUGAAGGAGCAAGUCGGAGGUAAGAAGCGGGUGACAGUCUCAAGGAAGAUUAUAUUAGCGGUGGCUGAACACCUAGCGAAGAACCAGCAGCAACCCAACUGAAAUGACGACCUGGAUCCCAUCGUCAACCAAAGUGUACAUUUUUCGGUGUUGAUAUCAUCUUAGUCAAUACCUCGAACAGUCUGUAAAAUUUUAUGUCAUAUUUUCUGUCCUAACUGAUGUUAUGGACGAUUUCUCAUCAAUUUUGGGAUUUUGUGUUAUUUUGUGUCAUCAAGGAAAAUUGUGUUUUUGGCAAGACCUA